RNAcentral lists this unclassified non-coding RNA (286 nucleotides) under Hevea brasiliensis (rubber tree). Lineage: Eukaryota; Viridiplantae; Streptophyta; Magnoliopsida; Malpighiales; Euphorbiaceae. The record is from RNAcentral.
GCUUUUUCCAACUAGUAGAUCAGUGUUGGCUAUUUAAAUCUUGUGGGUUGGCUCAUUUUUCUUCGGAUUUCUUGUUGAGUUUUACUUGGCUGGUUGAUAGAUACAAGAUUCGGGUGAUCAAGGUUCUACAUCAUUUAGAAUAAGCUAGUUGCUUCACAUUUAUUUGACUUGGAUGUGUAGCAAUGCGUCAUUAUUGUGGUGCCCAACUGCCCAAAUCAGAGGAUGGUGAAAAUGGGAAACUCGAGAAUGGGAAUUCUUUAAGAUUAAAUGGUGAAGGGCACAAUUG